AAACGUAGGAGGCGAGCGUUAUCCGGAUUUACUGGGCGUAAAGGGCAAGUAGGCGGUGGCCAAAGUUGGGCGUGACAACUCCCGGCUCAACUGGGAGGGGUCGCUCAAAACUGGGUGACUAGAGGGCAGGAGAGGGAAGCGGAAUUCCUAGUGUAGCGGUGGAAUGCUCAGAUAUUAGGAAGAACACCAGUGGCGAAGGCGGCUUCCUGGCCUGUACCUGACGCUGAGAGGCGAAAGCUAGGGGAGCGAACGGGCUUAGAUACCCCGGUAGUCCUAGCUGUAAACUUUGGAUACUGGGUAUUGGGGGUGACAAUGCCCUCAGUGCCGAAGCCAACGCGUUAAGUAUCCCGCCUGGGGACUACGGCCGCAAGGUUAAA
RNAcentral lists this ribosomal RNA (377 nucleotides) under uncultured bacterium. RNAcentral describes it as "bacterial SSU rRNA". It matches the Rfam family "Bacterial small subunit ribosomal RNA", at positions 523 to 898 of the family's 1533-position model. The record is from RNAcentral.